GUGGGGCGGGGCCGGUUUGUGGUGUGGCCACGCCCUCUCCCCGCCCCGCCGUUCGGGGCCCGCCCCUUUUCCCGUCCCACGCAGCGGCAGGCUAGUUGCUUAAGUCAGUUUGCAGGUGUUUGAGGGAGCCGACUGCUGCCUCCCUACCCGCAGUGACUGUUUCGGGCAGUGCCAGAGAUUCUCGACGGUGGGUUCACUUUGCAUCCACCCUCCUUGUUGCAGUCGGCGGGGCUCGGUGCUCGAUUCCGGCCCAGGCCUCUUGGGCCCCUCUAACUUCUCUGCACCUCCUGGGCUUCUCAGGGACACCUGCAGACCUUGGGUUCACCCUGCCAAGUUGGGGCCUGCCCACGGGACCAGGGAGCCAGCCCAAGGUGGAACCUGGGAGCCUCAAGUGUUGGGGAAGCCCGGGAACCUACCGCGUAGCCUGUUUGGAGGGGCUGUGUGGCUGCCAGGGUAUUCUUCACUCGGAUCCGUGGGAGGCUUGAUUCCUGAGAAUGAGAGCCUGCAAGCUGGGAGAGAGACAGAGGGAGAGAGAAUCCCAAGCAGGCUCCGCACUCACACAGAGCCUGACACGGGGCUUGAUCCCACCACCCUGGGAUCGUGACCUGAGCCAUCACUGAGAGUCAGAGCUCAAUGGACUGAGCGCCCCAGGCGCCCCUCCAUUCUAUUUCUGCUGACAUUUAGAUGGGUUCCAGAUACCGUCUCUGUGGCUAAGAACGUCCAUGUGUGUGUCCUAGUGCGUGUGUUCUUAUGGUUGUGUAUAACUGAAGGUCGGAGUGUGUGCAGGUUUUACUUUAAUAGGUAAUGCCGAACUGUU
Suricata suricatta (meerkat) is the source of this 817-nucleotide long non-coding RNA. RefSeq lists it as uncharacterized. The record is from RefSeq and is a predicted model, not a curated record. The transcript is spliced from 5 exons. NCBI's taxonomy places the organism in Eukaryota, Metazoa, Chordata, Mammalia, Carnivora, Herpestidae.